UUACUCCUACGGGAGGCAGCAGUAGGGAAUAUUGGACAAUGGAGGAAACUCCGAUCCAGCCAUCCCGCGUGAAGGAUUAAGGUCCUAUGGAUUGUAAACUUCCUUUCCUUGGGAAUAAAAUCUCCGAUUCCUCGGAGCUUGAAGGUACCAGGGGAAUAAGCACCGGCUAACUCCGUGCCAGCAGCCGCGGUAAUAA
This 196-nucleotide ribosomal RNA is filed under the name uncultured Ferruginibacter sp. Its description in RNAcentral is "partial 16S ribosomal RNA". It matches the Rfam family "Bacterial small subunit ribosomal RNA", at positions 333 to 526 of the family's 1533-position model. The record is from RNAcentral. Lineage: Bacteria; Pseudomonadati; Bacteroidota; Chitinophagia; Chitinophagales; Chitinophagaceae.